This 1614-nucleotide long non-coding RNA is filed under the name Marmota monax (woodchuck). Lineage: Eukaryota; Metazoa; Chordata; Mammalia; Rodentia; Sciuridae. The record is from RNAcentral.
CUACACUGUAGUAAGAAGGAAUUUUAAAAAGAAAUGGAUUAUAAUGAUUAUAUUCACAAUAACCUCAAAAACAAAACAACAGAGAUUAAGAAAAAUAUUCUAAAUCUUUUAUUAUUCUUUAUCUUAAAGGAAUUUUUUCUCCUAAAACUCUGAGUGUGCCUUAUUGGCAGUGUAUUCUGUCAGAGACAACUGAUGCUGCCCUCUCUCCUUUGCCUUAUUAGCUGGAAAGAAAAGCAUUGAAUUAUGGGUCAUAGUUUCCUGGAAAUGUGAUUUAUGGAAAGAUUUAUGUCAUCAUUAUUCCUCUUUAACCACAACCCUAACCAAAUAACCACUUCCUAUGCUCAGGCAGCUUCUCGUUUCUACAAACAUUGUGUGUUGUUUUUCUGAGGUUCUCAAGGUAAUUUUAGAUUAAAAAUAUAUUUAUAUAUAAUGUGUAUAAAUGUGGUAUAUCUGUACAAUAAAAUGGUGCUAGACAAUAGAAAGGAAGACAUCAUCAACAUACACAACAAUAUCCAUAUACAAGAUAUGAAUAUAUACAUUCAUUCAUUCAUUCUUUGGCCAAUCCUCCAACAUAUGAAGAAGAUCAGAACAAAACUAUUCACAAGUAACAGCAUCAUAAAAGUAUAGUUUAAAAGUAUGGUCACUAUAACAGAACUUUCAACUAGACUCUGUUUUACAAGACACUUUCUGGGCAUAUGAAUCUAACAUACACUAAUUACAUUGUAGAAGAUUUCCCAAAAGAAAAGAAAGCAGGUGGUAAGUCCAUGGAAAUAAGAACAACCUGAAGUUGUGUGGUAUGGCAGUGAGAGUGGUGGAUAGCUCUGGGCCAGCCACACACAGCUGCCGUCUCCAUUCCUUAGAGGAGUGGAGCUUGAACAGUGAGAUUGCAUUAACCAGGACUGUAUAUGUAGAGGUCACACUCAAGCAGAGAUUAGAACAAUGCUAUCUGCCUGUUUAAACUAGUAGCAAUACAAGAGCCCCCUGCUAGAAGCCAGUCCCUUGAGUCUUAAGCCCCAUGCAUAUACUGGGCCUUGAAUAAGGGCACAGUAUAAUUUUUGGAACAUGAAUCCUUCAGGACCUGAGCUAUGUUAGCCAGGGCUUUACUGUCUCUGACCCCACUCAGUGGCAAAUCAGAAAAAUUUGGCAUGAUUUACUUUGCAUUACACAAUUUGCAAAAUGUACAAAUAUGCCAAAAUAGAUUAUACUGUAAUGUAUAACUAAAAAGAACAAAUAAAAAAUUUUAAAAAUUAAAACAGAAAACCAGUGAUGGCUGAUAUUUUGAGCCAAGUUGGUUUAUAAAUAUUCCUGAAUCAAGAGCGAUAUGUAAUGGUAACCUGGGCAUGAGAAUAGGUUUAUUUAUUGCAGUGGAAAUUUACCAGUGACAGAUAAUACAUCUCACUACCCACUUUGUAUAUGUUUUUUUCUAGUGCUGAAUAAAUAUAUACAUAAUACUAAGAAUUUUGCAAUGACUGGUACAGUGAAAUGCUCAUUUUUAGCACUCUUGGAUUUUCUCUCUUGCAGUUUUCUCUUAAUGCAGAAUGUUUUCUCUGAUAUAAGGAGAAUGAUUCAUAGUGAGGUAGGAAGAGGGGCAUGGGAGGAAUAGAUGAAUUCUAG